RNAcentral lists this ribosomal RNA (497 nucleotides) under uncultured bacterium. Its description in RNAcentral is "partial 16S ribosomal RNA". It matches the Rfam family "Bacterial small subunit ribosomal RNA", at positions 28 to 507 of the family's 1533-position model. The record is from RNAcentral.
GAUGAACGCUGGCGGCGUGCCUAAUACAUGCAAGUCGAGCGAACGGACGAGAAGCUUGCUUCUCUGAUGUUAGCGGCGGACGGGUGAGUAACACGUGGAUAACCUACCUAUAAGACUGGGAUAACUUCGGGAAACCGGAGCUAAUACCGGAUAAUAUUUUGAACCGCAUGGUUCAAAAGUGAAAGACGGUCUUGCUGUCACUUAUAGAUGGAUCCGCGCUGCAUUAGCUAGUUGGUAAGAUAACGGCUUACCAAGGCAACGAUGCAUAGCCGACCUGAGAGGGUGAUCGGCCACACUGGAACUGAGACACGGUCCAGACUCCUACGGGAGGCAGCAGUAGGGAAUCUUCCGCAAUGGGCGAAAGCCUGACGGAGCAACGCCGCGUGAGUGAUGAAGGUCCUCGGAUCGUAAAACUCUGUUAUUAGGGAAGAACAUAUGUGUAAGUAACUGUGCACAUCUUGACGGUACCUAAUCAGAAAGCCACGGCUAACUACGUG